AUGCAGUCGAGGGGCAGCAUGAACUUAGCUUGCUAAGUUUGAUGGCGACCGGCGCACGGGUGAGUAACACGUAUCCAACCUUCCGUUUACUCAGGGAUAGCCUUUCGAAAGAAAGAUUAAUACCUGAUAGUAUGGUGAGAUUGCAUGAUAGCACCAUUAAAGAUUUAUUGGUAAACGAUGGGGAUGCGUUCCAUUAGGUAGUAGGCGGGGUAACGGCCCACCUAGCCGACGAUGGAUAGGGGUUCUGAGAGGAAGGUCCCCCACAUUGGAACUGAGACACGGUCCAAACUCCUACGGGAGGCAGCAGUGAGGAAUAUUGGUCAAUGGGCGAGAGCCUGAACCAGCCAAGUAGCGUGAAGGAUGAAGGUCCUACGGAUUGUAAACUUCUUUUAUACGGGAAUAAAGUAUCCUACGUGUAGGAUUUUGUAUGUACCGUAUGAAUAAGCAUCGGCUAACUCCGUGCCAGCAGCCGCGGUAAUACGGAGGAUGCGAGCGUUAUCCGGAUUUAUUGGGUUUAAAGGGAGCGCAGACGGGAGAUUAAGUCAGUUGUGAAAGUUUGCGGCUCAACCGUAAAAUUGCAGUUGAUACUGGUUUUCUUGAGUGCAGUUGAGGCAGGCGGAAUUCGUGGUGUAGCGGUGAAAUGCUUAGAUAUCACGAAGAA
RNAcentral lists this ribosomal RNA (661 nucleotides) under uncultured bacterium. Its description in RNAcentral is "bacterial SSU rRNA". It matches the Rfam family "Bacterial small subunit ribosomal RNA", at positions 55 to 706 of the family's 1533-position model. The record is from RNAcentral.